This 477-nucleotide ribosomal RNA is filed under the name Streptococcus parasanguinis. RNAcentral's name for it is "bacterial SSU rRNA". It matches the Rfam family "Bacterial small subunit ribosomal RNA", at positions 28 to 488 of the family's 1533-position model. Lineage: Bacteria; Bacillati; Bacillota; Bacilli; Lactobacillales; Streptococcaceae. The record is from RNAcentral.
GAUGAACGCUGGCGGCGUGCCUAAUACAUGCAAGUAGAACGCUGAAGCUUGGUGCUUGCACCGAGCGGAUGAGUUGCGAACGGGUGAGUAACGCGUAGGUAACCUGCCUCUUGGCGGGGGAUAACUAUUGGAAACGAUAGCUAAUACCGCAUAAAAGUCGAUAUCGCAUGAUGUUGAUUUGAAAGGUGCAAUUGCAUCACUAAGAGAUGGACCUGCGUUGUAUUAGCUAGUUGGUGAGGUAACGGCUCACCAAGGCGACGAUACAUAGCCGACCUGAGAGGGUGAUCGGCCACACUGGGACUGAGACACGGCCCAGACUCCUACGGGAGGCAGCAGUAGGGAAUCUUCGGCAAUGGGGGCAACCCUGACCGAGCAACGCCGCGUGAGUGAAGAAGGUUUUCGGAUCGUAAAGCUCUGUUGUAAGAGAAGAACGAGUGUGAGAGUGGAAAGUUCACACUGUGACGGUAACUACCAGAA